UUACGGCCAUAUCACAUAGAAACACCAGUUCUCAUACGAUCAGCGAAGUUAAGCAAUAUCGAGCCUGAUCUGCAUUUAGAUGGGUGACCACUUGAGAAUCCCAGGUGCUGUAA
Acanthosepion pharaonis is the source of this 113-nucleotide non-coding RNA. The record is from the annotation of a GenBank genome assembly. Lineage: Eukaryota; Metazoa; Mollusca; Cephalopoda; Sepiida; Sepiidae.